GGCUUCUCUGUCACGCGUUCUCAAUUCAUUUAGAUGUGUUGACAGUUGGUGAAAUUUGUUUGAGCUGCGCUAUGAAAGUCAACGGUCCAAUAUUCUAGAACACUGCUGCGCGCACGCGUACAUGUUUUGGACAAUAAUAAACUUAGGCUGCGUCGCCGUUUCUUUUUCUGUUUUCUCUAGUUGUGCGAGUGUGCUCUACAGUAACUCCACGGAAGCGCUGCAACCCUAGGCAGCUGGCACUUGGCUCAAUUCACCGACUGGGAAAGAGGUCCCUGUCCACUGAUGACAGACAGGCUUGGCAGCAGACCAAACUACAAAGUGGCAGCUGUAAGCACAGUGGCUAGGAAGAACUCCCUAGAAGGCAGGAACCUAGGAAGAAACCUAGAGAGGAACCAGGUACUGAGGGAUAAAUUAUUACAGGGCAAUUUGAGGGAGGACACCAAUAAACCAUGUAGAAACCAUCAUUCAGAAGGGUUUUACCAUGUACAAACCAGGUCUGUGUGGUUGAUGUUUGAGUGGUGAGGCAUAGCUGGUGUUAUUUGGAGCUGGGUGGUUAAGCGGUGAGUAGUUGAGCUAGCUGCUACAGCACAGAGGUACAGUACAGUGGGGAAGGCUCUGGUGCCAGCCAGGUGUAGGAGCUCCAGUGACAGGUGACAGGUAAAUUACCUCCAAGCUCUAGGUGCCAUAAUCAGCCUGUCUGCUCCAAUCAACUGCACUCUGCUCUGUUCCACUCUCACAAGAGUUUUUACUCUACCAAAAGCAGCCCCUCAACUCCUCCUCCCGUGUAAUCUGCUUACAAGGCUCGUUUUCUCUCCCUCCUUCAAAUUGAGACAAGCCUUUUCUUGAGCGCUUACUUGUCAGUAUUGAGGGAGAGCGAAUGGAGGCUAAAUGGGGCUGCUGUAGCUCUUUGUGUGGAGGUAUGUGUCCCUGGCUCUUUGCCUCCGUCUGAGAGGGAACGACGUGGGAGCAUGGCUGACUUAAUCAUUCUGCUUUAAUCACUCUCUCAAUCACUCUCUCCUCCACAUUGUCUGACCAACAUAGUCUGGAAAUGUUCUAGAAUGCAAUCUUCUUAAUGGGUUCUUAAUUUUUUUUCCCGAAUUC
RNAcentral lists this long non-coding RNA (1101 nucleotides) under Salmo salar (Atlantic salmon). RNAcentral describes it as "lncRNA (ENSSSAG00000084950.1, ENSSSAG00020069486.1)". Lineage: Eukaryota; Metazoa; Chordata; Actinopteri; Salmoniformes; Salmonidae. The record is from RNAcentral.